Ovis aries (sheep) is the source of this 72-nucleotide transfer RNA. It matches the Rfam family "tRNA". Rfam says of the family: Transfer RNA (tRNA) molecules are approximately 80 nucleotides in length. Their secondary structure includes four short double-helical elements and three loops (D, anti-codon, and T loops). The record is from Rfam. Lineage: Eukaryota; Metazoa; Chordata; Mammalia; Artiodactyla; Bovidae.
UCCCUGAUAGUUCAGAUGGUAAAAAUUCUGCCUGCAAUGCAGGAGUCCUGGGUUCGAUUCCUGGGUAAGGAA